CCCUUAGAUGUUCUGGGCUGCACGCGCGCUACACUGAUGCAUCCAACAAGUUUUCUCCCUUGUUCGGUAGGACUGGGUAAUCUUUUGAGUAUGCAUCGUGAUGGGGAUAGAUUAUUGCAAUUAUUAAUCUUCAACGAGGAAUGCCUAGUAAACGCAAGUCAUCAGCUUGCAUUGAUUACGUCCCUGCCCUUUGUACACACCGCCCGUCGCUCCUACCGAUUGAAUGAUCCGAUGAAUACCAUGGAUUGAGAGUACGAAUGGGUUCGCUCAUUUCUGCUGCUCGAGAAGUGGAGUAAAUCUUAUCAUUUAGAGGAAGGAGAAGUCGUAACA
Molecule: ribosomal RNA, 330 nt
Filed under: uncultured eukaryote
Lineage: Eukaryota
Description: partial 18S ribosomal RNA
Rfam family: Eukaryotic small subunit ribosomal RNA
Source: RNAcentral